UUUCGUUUAUUAAGUAUAGUUCAUUGGCAGUUGAUUGUACUUCUUUCACCUUCUCUACAUUUUUUUACUUAUUCUACGGUCUCAAAUGUGAUGUCGAUGUAUAUGUGUAUGUGUAUGUGUCGAUAUGCAUUCGAUUAUUGACAUACACUUUUGGAGGGAAGAAAACUGUAGGCGGAGAUGUAAAUAAACGCGCAUUAAUUGAUCAAUUUGGUCUUUUGUCUUUUGCUCGCUAAUAAGUUUGAUUUGUAUAGCGGUUAUCGUAAUUAUGAAAGGAAAUUAUCGUUUCUAUUUUACCAACUUGUCCAUAGCCACGAUCACAGACACAAGAGAGAUGAAUGUAUCAUACAAUAGUACCAAAGUUAUAAAUUAAUUUCGAAUUAAAAAAUUAAAGUUAUUCAAUAUUGAAAACAUUUUAGUAUCACAUAUAACCAUCAAUAUUUUUCAAUUUACGAUGUACUCACUUCUAAAAAUAACAGAGAGAACCUUUUUUUACAAUAAAAUAAAUACAUUUUCGAGCACGCAAGAAGUAAGUACGUGUUGAAUGUAUUAAAUAGUCUGCUUUAAAUUUCUUUAUGUAAUGUAUUAAUUAAUUCCACACAUAUUAUCUAAUUAUUGCACGCAAGAUAUAGACACGUAAUGCUUUGUGAGUCGAACUAUGUUCCAGACAAAGUAGUAUAUAUCCAUAAUUCAUAUUAUGCAACAGAUUAUUGCACAGAUAUAAAUCAAAUAAAAUUAUAAUUGAACUGUUUGAAGAUACACGGUGCAAUAGGAUAAAUUAUGCGAAAGCAAUGUUUGACCUUAAUCGGGUUAAAUUGUCACGUGCGAUUCAAUUUUCGAAUCAAGUCAUAUAAUAAACAAAGUUUCUUUAUUGUAAAUAUUUUUAA
Molecule: long non-coding RNA, 884 nt
Organism: Bombus impatiens (common eastern bumble bee)
Lineage: Eukaryota; Metazoa; Arthropoda; Insecta; Hymenoptera; Apidae
Exons: 2
Source: RefSeq, a predicted model, not a curated record